CCUACGGGUGUCAGCAGUGGGGAAUAUUGCACAAUGGGGGAAACCCUGAUGCAGCGACGCCGCGUGAGCGAUGAAGUAUUUCGGUAUGUAAAGCUCUAUCAGCAGGGAAGAAAAUGACGGUACCUGACUAAGAAGCCCCGGCUCACUACGUGCCAGCAGCCGCGGUAAUACGUAGGGGGCAAGCGUUAUCCGGAUUUAUUGGGUGUAAAGGGAGCGUAGACGGCGGUGCAAGCCAGAUGUGAAAGGCUGGGGCUCAACCCCGGGACUGCAUUUGAAACUGUGUGGCUAGAGGGCAGGAGAGGCGGGCGGAAUUCCUAGUGUAGCGGUGAAAUGCGUAGAUAUUAGGAGGAACACCAGUGGCGAAGGCAGCCUGC
Molecule: ribosomal RNA, 374 nt
Filed under: uncultured bacterium
Lineage: Bacteria
Description: partial 16S ribosomal RNA
Rfam family: Bacterial small subunit ribosomal RNA
Source: RNAcentral